CAUUACCGCAGUUUACAACUCCCAAACCCCUGUGAACAUACCACUUGUUGCCUCGGCGGAUCAGCCCGCUCCCGGUAAAACGGGACGGCCCGCCAGAGGACCCCUAAACUCUGUUUCUAUAUGUAACUUCUGAGUAAAACCAUAAAUAAAUCAAAACUUUCAACAACGGAUCUCUUGGUUCUGGCAUCGAUGAAGAACGCAGCAAAAUGCGAUAAGUAAUGUGAAUUGCAGAAUUCAGUGAAUCAUCGAAUCUUUGAACGCACAUUGCGCCCGCCAGUAUUCUGGCGGGCAUGCCUGUUCGAGCGUCAUUUCAACCCUCAAGCACAGCUUGGUGUUGGGACUCGCGUUAAUUCGCGUUCCCCAAAUUGAUUGGCGGUCACGUCGAGCUUCCAUAGCGUAGUAGUAAAACCCUCGUUACUGGUAAUCGUCGCGGCCACGCCGUUAAACCCCCAACUUCUGAAUGUUGACCUCGGAUCAGGUAGGA
This 484-nucleotide ribosomal RNA is filed under the name Fusarium sp. SIN5. Its description in RNAcentral is "eukaryotic LSU rRNA". The stretch from base 155 to 308 matches the Rfam family "5.8S ribosomal RNA". Lineage: Eukaryota; Fungi; Ascomycota; Sordariomycetes; Hypocreales; Nectriaceae. The record is from RNAcentral.